RNAcentral lists this long non-coding RNA (8548 nucleotides) under Homo sapiens (human). RNAcentral describes it as "HSALNT0308026". The record is from RNAcentral. Lineage: Eukaryota; Metazoa; Chordata; Mammalia; Primates; Hominidae.
AGAGACAGCAGUAACACCUUCUGGCUAUAGUCUAUUUUCAUCUUUCUCAUCCUAGUGUUAUCAAGAGAAAAACAGUCUUAGAUGCAACAUAAAAAUUUCAGAGACAGAAGAAAUCUUCCUUUGAGGGCAGGUUUUUUGGGAAAGAUAUAUAGCUUUUGGCAGAAGAAAAUCAGUGACAAUGACUUAGAAGAAUCUUAAUCUCAUGAAAGAAAUAAAUGCUUGUCAGUCAAGAAGUUGUAACCUUUACCUUGUUUUGACCUUUACAUUUUCAAGUGAUACACUUAUGUGAGAUUUUGAAAAGUGAAAAAUCAAAGGUGGAAUUGACCAGUAGAUGUAAAAGUACAACAAAUAAACAAAAAUGGCAAUGUUGAAAGUGAAACUGAAAUUCAACAGAAAUAAAAGAAAUAGCAGACUGGGGGGAUAUUGACUUUGACACCAUGAUGCCAGAGGAACUUAGUGAUGGCAAACUUAUCAAUAUAAAAUGAGGAUAUUGGUUGUCAACUAGGUUGUGUGGUGGUCCUUGAUCUUGUCCAUCAAGUCCUUUUUCCCAAAGGAUAACUGAAGAAGAUCACAUACAUUCCAACUUAUUGAGUCUGAUAGGUAUUCAUCUGAUGAGCUCCUCUUCAACUGAGGAUUGAAAUGCUGUUUUUCUUCCCUGGUACAAUGUUAAAGCUUUAAACUCUUGUCAAUGAUGUGAUGUUUCAUCUGCAAUGAUCUACACUAGAAAAAUAAAAAUGUAGUUACUGACAAAAAAGCAGGAACUACUGCUCUAAGGAAAAAAGGACAGCUACAUGAGGACCACACAACUCCUGGAAGAGGUUUCCCUGGCAACACAACUUUUCCAUUCAUCUGGUUGCAGUGUUUUCAUCCAGUAGCCUGUCACCUCACUCAAAAGCAGGGCAAUGGAGAGAAAGAAACUUACCAAGUUUUUUCUUUUAACUAGAGAGUAGCCUACUUAUUGGGCCCUGCAAUUAAUUUCAGGCAGAUUUAUAAAGGAAGCUGCUGGAAGGAAUUCAUUCCCUUUUUGCUGUUCUGCCUUCCACCUUCCACUGUGUGAGGACACUGCAAGAAAGCCCUCAUCAGACACCAACUGCCAGCACCUAGAUCUUGGAAUUCUCAGCCUCCAGAACUCUUUUACCAAUUUUGAGUAGAUUUUAAGGAAGAGAGAAACAGGCCACUUCAGAUUGGAAGCCCACACCUACUCCAGGCUGUUUUCCAACUGGAAAAUGAUGUGAUGGGGUAAUCCUGCUCUCUAUCUGUAUCUCACCAGCAGAAUGCAUACUCUAUCAGAAAGGUUCUUUGGUGGAAUGUAUAUUCUCUGUCCUGGAGCUCCCCAAGUGCCCACUGUCUCUGACCUCAAAGUCCAGGCCUUUCAAUUGGAUGACCCAAGACUACCCCACUGUGAUUCUUUCUCCUGAGUGAUCUACACUUUCUUUUGUGGCAACACUCACUACAUCCUGACCCUACCGUCUCUAAGAUAUGGUGCAGGUGCUUCUGCACUCUUCUGGCUGCCAAACCAGUCAGCCCUUUGCUUGCUUUCUAGAUUUCUAAAGGCAGGAUUCAGAUAUAAUGCUACAGUUUGUCUAAACCCAAUAAAUAAACUGUUCUCUCCCCAGGCCUCAGACAAAACAAACAUGAUUAUCUUCCUUCUGUAUGUCAGUAAGGUGAGCAACACCAUUCUCCCCUGAAUGAACACACUAAAAUUCCUGGGUGUUGUCCUUGAUACUCUGUUUUUCUUUAUCCUUCAUCAUAUCUUUAAGUUCAGCCUGUCACAAACAUUCAAUGACACCAUUGAUAUCUAGUACAUGUCAACCUCUUUCUUCCCUGAAUGCACACAAAAGCCUCCUAACUUGUCUUUUUCUGUCAGUUCAGUUUUCCUGUCAUUUAAUACUGUUUCUUCUCUUGCUACUUGAGUUAUUUUCCUAAGUGCAAAUCUAUUGUCAUUUCCUUGUAUAAAAUUUUAAUGGCUCUUUAUUCCAAAACUAGAGAUUGAACCGUUCUCAGUUUUUCUAUGUCGUUGUAUUUCCUGUCCUGAAUAACCCAUCCCUCAUAUUCCCUCUUGCCAAUUAUGUGGCUCACUCCUUCUCACACUUUAAUGUUGAUUUAGACUACAGAACUCUGUCUGACCCCUUGCUCUACUCUCAAAGCUCCCCUUUACUUCAGUCUAAUUCUCUUAUCAUGCACUAAAGCCAUCAUUUAUAUUUGCUUUCUUUUUAUAACUUAAUAAUCCUUAAUAAGUCAUCACUUCCUUGACAGGAAGAAUCAUGUCUUAUUUUCAUCAUGGUAUCAAGAGUAUACAAUACAACUCCUGGCAAACUAUUAGUGUUUAACUGAUAUUUGUGGAAUUAAUUAAUGAGUAGGUGAAUAAGUGUAAUGGUGGGUAACUCAGUAUCUAGAUGAAAAACACUGUCUCAAGAGCUUUCUCUUUGCCAAGACUCCAGUCCCAAUUCCGAGCCUUUAACACUCUCCGCUUUAAUUUGAGGAAAAAAUGACUCUGAUGGACCAGUUUUGGUCCAUUAUGUAGUUUCCACUUAAUAAAUAGAAUUAAAUAAUUUCAAUUAAGAAGGCUCAUGUGAAUACUGACACAUUAUCAGAUACUUAGUUGACUAAAAGUCUUCAAAGGUGCCGUGUCAUAGUCAGAGUUCUGGCAUUGAGGAGGUUUAAAGAGAGUUCUUAUUUACUAAGAGAGUUAGACAGGCAAACCACAGGAGAUGGUGCUAUCACCUUACAUGAAGCUUACAUUAUACAGAAGGGAGGAAGAUACUAGAAGAAUAAGUUUUUGAGUUCUAUGCAGAAAAAUUACAUAUGGAUACAGGAGGGAAUUUUAUGGAGUGAGAAGUGAUAGUCUAAAUAAAUGGUGAAGGAAUCCUUCUCUGAAAAUGAGUAAACUAUGUGUACAUUUGAAGGAAAUGCCUCACUGGCAGAGCUAUGUACAAAGCAAAGGCUCUGAGGUGCCAGUAUAUUUAGUAUGUUUAAGAAAUCACAAAGACAAGCGUGACUGGGACUGAAGGAGGGAGUGAAUUAAUACAAUCCAGAAAACCUAAAAUAUUUAUAUUACCUGGCUUUGUUUGAAUUCCAAUCCCAAAUGAAUUUGUCAAAGAAAUCUGAUUUGUCCAACCUUAGUUAUUUGACAACUACAGGUUAAUCCACUCUACUGAGGAAGGAUGAGUCAUCAUAAAUAUUUCUUGCAGUGUCUUAUCUUUUUAAACAAAGAACAAAUUUAAGAGAAGUGUGCUGGGGUUGGGAGGGGAGUGUGUUGAUGGUUGUAGAAAUCAUACCAAGAUUGUCUUCUCUGUGAAUGUAAAAGGACAGUUCUUUAGGGGAAAAUCCCUCAGACUUCUGGACAGGGGCUUAGAACUAGAUUAUGUGACACUGUAUAGAGGAGGCUAAGUAUAAGGAAAAUCUCAUAGAUUUACAUAAUACUGAGACUGGAAAGGAAGUUAGGAAUUUUCAUGUUCAGUCAUAUUAAAAAUGAAGUAAGGAAAUUUCAGAAGCUAAGUGACUUUUUUUCAGGUUGGUAUACACAGCUAAUUAGUGCCAGCCCACAGACCAAACACGUAUCUUUUGAUUUCCUAUUCAAUUUGGCAUAGAAAAUAAUGUGACUUGAGUUCUGAGAAAGCACUUUUCUGGAGAGUCCCUAAGAAUACUUCCAGACACAAUUAAUUAAAAUAGAACUAGUGGCAAUGUUAAGAUAAAUCAGAAAAUAGCAUGAAAAACAGAAUAAAUUUAAUGUACAUCAAAGUACGUCAUCAUGGGAAUGGCUCUCAAACCAAACCCUGAAGGAGAAUAAUGUGGCCUCAAAUCAUUUCAGAGCCUAGGGCAUGAAACUUCCAUGAAAAAUGCUGUUUGUCUGAAUUCUUGUAGUGAAAUAUAGACAUUCAUUAAAGUAAAAUGUCAUAAGGAAAAAGAGAAACCCAGCAAAAAUUUUUGUGCAAAAUUUUCUCACUGUGGUAACGCAGUUAGAAAAAAAUAGAAAAAGCUGUGAGUUUAAGCUCUGGAGUCUGAAUUAUCUUUAUUUGAAUCUUUGCUGGGACCUGUCUUAGCUAUGUACAACAAGGCAAGUUUUCAAUCUCUUUGAAUUGCAGUCUCCUCGUUCAUUUAAACCAAACAAUACAAAAGAAAACAAAAAUCUAUAUUCCACUUAACAUCUCCAGUAUAUUUUGAGUAUUACUUAUGUAAGGCAUAUAAAUAUCUUGCAUAUUUAUUGAUAUAUAUUAGAUGUAUGUAAACUCUUGAUUUUCAUAAUAAUCUGUGACAUUAUUCAACACAGGGACUUUCCAGAGAGAUACUUUUGAGUUCUUGAUCUAAAGUAUUUUUCUUCUAUUUUUUCAUUAUUGUUUCCUAAUCAUUAAAAGUAAUGACAAAAAUCAUGAUUACUUUUGCACUAACCUCAUAAUAAAAUAUUUCAAAUAUUGUUACUGAGAGUGAAAUGUAGUGAAAACGUUUGUUGUUCCUAUUAAUGAACCUUACUAGACUUCCGAGGCACCCAGAAGACUAACACUCUAAUAAAGGCUAUAGCAAGUAAUUGACGAAGAACGGAUAAAUUGCAGAAGCAGAAAUUUCUCAGCUCUAGAGAGGUGGUUCAAAGAUUUAAUAAACUAAUUAAAAAGUCUGAAGAAAAGAGAAACCACUGAUGGGUCUUGACGUCUUUAAGUAAAGUAGUAACAAGCACAGUUGUCAUGGAGGUAACACAACAGCCAGAAUGUUUUUCUAAGGAGUGAAUUAGGACACACAGUGGAAAGUGCCUGAAGAAAUUAAGUGCAUUCAAAGUACAUCUGAAUUACUGAGAGUUUUAAGAACAUUAGAUUGCCCAUUUUCUUCUGUGUAAUUUGUAAAUUAUCUAUUUUAAUUCCUCCAUUUUACAAAUGAAGAUAAUGAACCUUAAAAGUAGCAGGGACUAUUUCCAGCUCCAUUCAAUAAAAGCCAAGUCUUCAUUUUAUAAAAAGCGUUCACUGUAGUUUUCAUGGAGCAAAUUAGUGGCAACUUGAGUCACCAUGCAGUGCCCUAGUGAAAUAUUCCUGCUUAACUCUAAUGGAUCUAGGCAGUGACUUUCUUAGUGGUGAUGGCAAUCGUCCCUCGGUUUAUGGUCCUGGUCAUAGCUAUAUCACAUGUUAUUUUUAUUUAUUUUGUAUAUUUUUACUUUUAUGUUUGCCUUUUUGUUGAGAAAAUGUCAGAGAACAUACAUGUAUACAAACUUACAGUAUAAACAUUAAGGCUUUUUAAAUUGGCUGCCUUUUGCCACUUUUUGGAAGGCAAGUUGCAAAUUUAAGGGAACACUUCAUAAUCUCAUUCAUUUGCAGAAGUUGGCAUACAUCAGUGGAGAAAAAGAACAUUCAGAAUUCACCCUGGGACUCUAUGAGUGCCUUAGGUGAUUGAGCAGUGCUUUUACUUUUUCAUGAUGUUAUAUGUAAAGGAUGCAACUACUGUAAUCACUAUUCUGUGCCACUCUAAAAGUAGCCUCAUAAAAAGUGUUCAUUAAACUGAAAAUAGUUUACUUGGCAUUUCCUAAAACUCACCAGAUCUGUUAUCAGCAGCAAUUAAAAAAUCUUUAAAGGUAUUUGUUUGUAUUCAAUUAUCACACAUUAAUAUUUUCUUAUCUUUAUCUUUCUAAAACCUUACUUAACGUUUCUGCCUCAUCUGCUAAUUUACUGACAUUUCAUCUUACGGUAAUAGUAAUUGUUUCUCCUAUCAAACAUACCUUAUCUUUUCAGAUGGUAUUUCAUUCUAUCCCUGAACUUGAAACAUCUUUCCCACCCUUUUUCUACUUGAUGAAAUUUUCUUACUCAUCACUAAAUGCUCAGCUAUAUUAGAGUCCCUUCAAGAAGACUUCCCUGUACUCUCAUAUUGGGUGAUAUACCUCCUUUCUGUUCCCAUCAUGCCCCAUCUUGUCAGCAAUCAUCAUGGUAUCUUGGCCUUUCAUGAAUCAUCUACUCCACUCUCAGAUAUUUUGUUAUCACAGGGCAGUAACAGUGUCACAUUCAUCUGUCUACUUCUAGGAACCCCACAGUGCUUAUUAUAAGACGAUGCUUAAUAAAUGCUCAUUAAACAAAAGGAAAAACUACAGUAUAAAUCUCCCAUACAUACAAAUAUGAGCAUAUUCCAGGAACACUUACUUGAGACAUCAGAUUUUUUUUUUGUUAUAACAUUUCACUCAGAUACAGUGUGCUUUUUAAGGAAACAGAAAAAUUUUAAUUCAGAGAACAGCUGCCAUCUUUUGGGAGAAGUCAGAAGAAUCUCUCUCCCUUUUGCUCUCUCCCCUAUAAAGCGAGAGCUUAUUGUUAAUGAUAUUUUUUGUAUGUGAAAGGUAGCUUGAAGAGAAACAGUUGUUCUUGAUAUUGAAUAAAUUAAUUGUGAAACCUGUUUUGCUUCCUUUUUCUCCAAGUGGAUAAAAAUAUUCAUGAUUCUAAAGCUGUAAAAGGCUAUUCUGAAACUAUCCGCAGACAAGGUUGUCAUGGAAACCACCAUUUUUUUGGAAUAGUACAAUAAAUAGUCAUCUAAAGAAAUACUGAACACGGCGCACCUUGCUCUGGUAAUUAUAGAUGGUCCAGAAUUGAAACAUCUAUGACAUAUUUUGCUCUCAGGUGUGCCACCAGAGGAUAUUUAUUACCAUAAUGGGAAAUCUUUGUAAACAGGUAAGAUACAAAAUGUUUACUUGCAGCAAUAACUUGAGGUAUGGAAUGAGAAGGACACAUACUACUACUGCUUCAUAAACUCCUUAGUCUCCUCAUCCACCUCACACAUACAUUCACGGCUUAUGCAAACAGAUAAGAAUAAAGACAUGAGACAGUAAAUUUCAAGAUUCACUAGCAACCUAAGAAAGUAGAAGACAAAAGAAUUUAAGAAUAUGUGAAAAUCAGGGAUAGCUCUAAAUUCUCUUUCCCUAUACACCCCAGCUUCCUAUAGGGAGACUAGAUACCAAAGUAUAUAAUAAGAGCUUGGAUAAAUGAAAUUAGAAUUUGAAGAACAGUGUUAAAAAAAAAAAAGAAUAAAAAUAGCAUCCUUUCCCUGUCUUCUCCGUAGGUUUUUGGGGUGUGGAAGGCUGCCAAAGAGGUAGGGGAUAAUUUCUGAAUAUAGAGAAUAAUCUUGAUUUACGACUGAAGUUUUACCACUUGCAAAACCUACAGAAGUACUUCAUGCUUCAGGGGUUGAGGGAGGACAGCCUUGAGUAGUGGCAAAGCUCAAAGUGAAGAGAUCAAGAUUUUUCAUUGAGGAGAUGUGAUUUAUCCAGGCAAGUUUUAAGGAAGGCUGGCCAUGGACUCAAGUAACCACCAAGUGGUGUUACAUUUGCUAGAGGUUAGGAUUAGGAGAGAAAGUCCUGUUAUUUAUACCCACCCAUGGAUGCAGGCAAAAUAGGUACAUGAUCAUACUACACAAAAUAGUCAACAUUUGUCACUGCCCCAGUGAAAAGGAAGGAGAUGGAUUUCAAAGAGAAGGCUUUGAAUUGAAUAGGGACCAUGUUUAAAACCCAAGCCAAAAUGAUUCUAUAUUGAUCCAAUAUAUUUAUUAGAGGCAACAAGAUUGUCUUUUUUAUUCUUGAGCUGAAUAGGAAGUUGUAAUACAAUUUAUAUUUCUGAGCAAAAAAGGUUUUACUUUUUAUACGUAUGAUUUUUACAUAUUACAUUCUUGUAUAUAUACAUAUCAAUCUUUACAUAUAUGUGGUAUAAAGAGCAAAAGGUUCAGCUCAGGGUCCCAAAGAGAUAGUACAAGAAAAAAUUAAAAUGGGUCAUCUAAACCAAACUAUUCUGAGUUAAGAUCUUUUUGCUUUUUUCAAUAUUCUAUUUAUUCUUCCCACUGUGAAUGAGUUUUCUUAAUCCCUUCCUAAUGCAGGCAGGAGGAGAGUAAAACAGAGGAUAAGAACAUCAGCAUUCUCUGAGAAGUUGAUUUUUUUUUUUCUUCAACUAGAAUGAGAAAGCCAAAGCUUGCUAUGGAAAAUUACCUAACCUUAAAUGUCUAACAUUUUUAAUGCAAGAAACUAUUGGUUUAUUAGUGUCCUAUGGAACCUGGUUAUGAUAAUUAGUGUAAAAACAAAACAAACUGCAUAGAAAGACUUGAACUCUAUUUAGCACAAGGGCAGCAGGGGAGAGAGAGAGAAAAGGAGAGAGAAAAACAUGAUCAUUUGUAAGCAAGUGGGGACUAGAAUCAGGUAAUUAUUAUACAGUUCUAUAUUUGUAUGUCAUUGUUUUUGCUAAAAUAAAUUGUUGUUACCCUAUUUAGCAUAUUAGGUUUCUUCGAAGGGUUACCCAAGAGUUCUUAUAUAUUUGGUUAGGAAGGAAGCAAAGCUAAGAAUGUUAUUCAAUUUCACAAUGGAAAUCAAUACUACCUAACAUUCUACAAUAAUCCAAGAUAAAAUAUAGAAGCCAGAAAGGACACAUAGAUCUACUUUAAAUAAUACUAAUUCUCAGAAAUUCAUGAAGAAAUAUAUGCUCCCAAAGUUUAUUUAGCUGUGCUAGGUGUAUAACUAGAAACAUAAGAAAAUUUAUUUUCUCUGGAAAGCCCUGCAAUAUGUUUAAAGUUCUACUAGUUCCCUUUAAAUACAGGAAUAAAAUAC